RNAcentral lists this ribosomal RNA (2921 nucleotides) under Staphylococcus aureus subsp. aureus CIG1233. RNAcentral's name for it is "bacterial LSU rRNA". It matches the Rfam family "Bacterial large subunit ribosomal RNA". Lineage: Bacteria; Bacillati; Bacillota; Bacilli; Caryophanales; Staphylococcaceae. The record is from RNAcentral.
UUAAGUUAUUAAGGGCGCACGGUGGAUGCCUUGGCACUAGAAGCCGAUGAAGGACGUUACUAACGACGAUAUGCUUUGGGGAGCUGUAAGUAAGCUUUGAUCCAGAGAUUUCCGAAUGGGGAAACCCAGCAUGAGUUAUGUCAUGUUAUCGAUAUGUGAAUACAUAGCAUAUCAGAAGGCACACCCGGAGAACUGAAACAUCUUAGUACCCGGAGGAAGAGAAAGAAAAUUCGAUUCCCUUAGUAGCGGCGAGCGAAACGGGAAGAGCCCAAACCAACAAGCUUGCUUGUUGGGGUUGUAGGACACUCUAUACGGAGUUACAAAGGACGACAUUAGACGAAUCAUCUGGAAAGAUAAAUCAAAGAAGGUAAUAAUCCUGUAGUCGAAAAUGUUGUCUCUCUUGAGUGGAUCCUGAGUACGACGGAGCACGUGAAAUUCCGUCGGAAUCUGGGAGGACCAUCUCCUAAGGCUAAAUACUCUCUAGUGACCGAUAGUGAACCAGUACCGUGAGGGAAAGGUGAAAAGCACCCCGGAAGGGGAGUGAAAUAGAACCUGAAACCGUGUGCUUACAAGUAGUCAGAGCCCGUUAAUGGGUGAUGGCGUGCCUUUUGUAGAAUGAACCGGCGAGUUACGAUUUGAUGCAAGGUUAAGCAGUAAAUGUGGAGCCGUAGCGAAAGCGAGUCUGAAUAGGGCGUUUAGUAUUUGGUCGUAGACCCGAAACCAGGUGAUCUACCCUUGGUCAGGUUGAAGUUCAGGUAACACUGAAUGGAGGACCGAACCGACUUACGUUGAAAAGUGAGCGGAUGAACUGAGGGUAGCGGAGAAAUUCCAAUCGAACCUGGAGAUAGCUGGUUCUCUCCGAAAUAGCUUUAGGGCUAGCCUCAAGUGAUGAUUAUUGGAGGUAGAGCACUGUUUGGACGAGGGGCCCCUCUCGGGUUACCGAAUUCAGACAAACUCCGAAUGCCAAUUAAUUUAACUUGGGAGUCAGAACAUGGGUGAUAAGGUCCGUGUUCGAGAGGGAAACAGCCCAGACCACCAGCUAAGGUCCCAAAAUAUAUGUUAAGUGGAAAAGGAUGUGGCGUUGCCCAGACAACUAGGAUGUUGGCUUAGAAGCAGCCAUCAUUUAAAGAGUGCGUAAUAGCUCACUAGUCGAGUGACACUGCGCCGAAAAUGUACCGGGGCUAAACAUAUUACCGAAGCUGUGGAUUGUCCUUUGGACAAUGGUAGGAGAGCGUUCUAAGGGCGUUGAAGCAUGAUCGUAAGGACAUGUGGAGCGCUUAGAAGUGAGAAUGCCGGUGUGAGUAGCGAAAGACGGGUGAGAAUCCCGUCCACCGAUCGACUAAGGUUUCCAGAGGAAGGCUCGUCCGCUCUGGGUUAGUCGGGUCCUAAGCUGAGGCCGACAGGCGUAGGCGAUGGAUAACAGGUUGAUAUUCCUGUACCACCUAUAAUCGUUUUAAUCGAUGGGGGGACGCAGUAGGAUAGGCGAAGCGUGCGAUUGGAUUGCACGUCUAAGCAGUAAGGCUGAGUAUUAGGCAAAUCCGGUACUCAUUAAGGCUGAGCUGUGAUGGGGAGAAGACAUUGUGUCUUCGAGUCGUUGAUUUCACACUGCCGAGAAAAGCCUCUAGAUAGAAAAUAGGUGCCCGUACCGCAAACCGACACAGGUAGUCAAGAUGAGAAUUCUAAGGUGAGCGAGCGAACUCUCGUUAAGGAACUCGGCAAAAUGACCCCGUAACUUCGGGAGAAGGGGUGCUCUUUAGGGUUAACGCCCAGAAGAGCCGCAGUGAAUAGGCCCAAGCGACUGUUUAUCAAAAACACAGGUCUCUGCUAAACCGUAAGGUGAUGUAUAGGGGCUGACGCCUGCCCGGUGCUGGAAGGUUAAGAGGAGUGGUUAGCUUCUGCGAAGCUACGAAUCGAAGCCCCAGUAAACGGCGGCCGUAACUAUAACGGUCCUAAGGUAGCGAAAUUCCUUGUCGGGUAAGUUCCGACCCGCACGAAAGGCGUAACGAUUUGGGCACUGUCUCAACGAGAGACUCGGUGAAAUCAUAGUACCUGUGAAGAUGCAGGUUACCCGCGACAGGACGGAAAGACCCCGUGGAGCUUUACUGUAGCCUGAUAUUGAAAUUCGGCACAGCUUGUACAGGAUAGGUAGGAGCCUUUGAAACGUGAGCGCUAGCUUACGUGGAGGCGCUGGUGGGAUACUACCCUAGCUGUGUUGGCUUUCUAACCCGCACCACUUAUCGUGGUGGGAGACAGUGUCAGGCGGGCAGUUUGACUGGGGCGGUCGCCUCCUAAAAGGUAACGGAGGCGCUCAAAGGUUCCCUCAGAAUGGUUGGAAAUCAUUCAUAGAGUGUAAAGGCAUAAGGGAGCUUGACUGCGAGACCUACAAGUCGAGCAGGGUCGAAAGACGGACUUAGUGAUCCGGUGGUUCCGCAUGGAAGGGCCAUCGCUCAACGGAUAAAAGCUACCCCGGGGAUAACAGGCUUAUCUCCCCCAAGAGUUCACAUCGACGGGGAGGUUUGGCACCUCGAUGUCGGCUCAUCGCAUCCUGGGGCUGUAGUCGGUCCCAAGGGUUGGGCUGUUCGCCCAUUAAAGCGGUACGCGAGCUGGGUUCAGAACGUCGUGAGACAGUUCGGUCCCUAUCCGUCGUGGGCGUAGGAAAUUUGAGAGGAGCUGUCCUUAGUACGAGAGGACCGGGAUGGACAUACCUCUGGUGUACCAGUUGUCGUGCCAACGGCAUAGCUGGGUAGCUAUGUGUGGACGGGAUAAGUGCUGAAAGCAUCUAAGCAUGAAGCCCCCCUCAAGAUGAGAUUUCCCAACUUCGGUUAUAAGAUCCCUCAAAGAUGAUGAGGUUAAUAGGUUCGAGGUGGAAGCAUGGUGACAUGUGGAGCUGACGAAUACUAAUCGAUCGAAGACUUAAUCAA